CCUACGGGGGGCAGCAGUGGGGAAUAUUGCACAAUGGGCGCAAGCCUGAUGCAGCCAUGCCGCGUGUGUGAAGAAGGCCUUCGGGUUGUAAAGCACUUUCAGCGGGGAGGAAGGCGUUAAGGUUAAUAACCUUGUCGAUUGACGUUACCCGCAGAAGAAGCACCGGCUAACUCCGUGCCAGCAGCCGCGGUUAUACGGAGGGUGCAAGCGUUAAUCGGAAUUACUGGGCGUAAAGCGCACGCAGGCGGUCUGUCAAGUCGGAUGUGAAAUCCCCGGGCUCAACCUGGGAACUGCAUUCGAAACUGGCAGGCUAGAGUCUUGUAGAGGGGGGUAGAAUUCCAGGUGUAGCGGUGAAAUGCGUAGAGAUCUGGAGGAAUACCGGUGGCGAAGGCGGCCCCCUGGACAAAGACUGACGCUCAGGUGCGAAAGCGUGGGGAGCAAACAGGAUUAGAUACCCGGGUAGUC
Molecule: ribosomal RNA, 465 nt
Filed under: uncultured Klebsiella sp.
Lineage: Bacteria; Pseudomonadati; Pseudomonadota; Gammaproteobacteria; Enterobacterales; Enterobacteriaceae
Description: bacterial SSU rRNA
Rfam family: Bacterial small subunit ribosomal RNA
Source: RNAcentral